Long non-coding RNA from Planococcus citri (citrus mealybug), 7175 nucleotides. RefSeq lists it as uncharacterized. The transcript is spliced from 3 exons. The record is from RefSeq and is a predicted model, not a curated record. Lineage: Eukaryota; Metazoa; Arthropoda; Insecta; Hemiptera; Pseudococcidae.
UAUUCUCCAAUAACUGUAGUAUAAGUACCCCUUGCUAUCAUGGGAUAGACUGUACUUAUUACAUGAAUUCGAAGAGCUUACGUCAGAGAAUAAAUCUAGAGUGGGAAAUGGAAAAGUUUAUGACGCUAGGUACUUACCUACCUAGCGGCAGUAUGUUUUUAUUCGAUGUAAUAGUAAGAACGUGUGAUAUAUGUUCGACCGCUUUUUUAUCUUUUAUUAUUCAAAUUGCAAUGUAAAUUGUUUCUAAUUCGAAUGAAUAAUUAAACGAUUUUCAAUGAUCUAAUAUUCGCGUCGUGAAAGUUAAUUUGCUCAAAGGAACAUGUUUUUCUGAUUGAUUCGAGUAUUGGAUGUAAUGGAAAAAAGGAUUCUCUGUGCCGGCGGUUCUUGGAUUCGUCGAUGUGGUUUCCAUGUUCGCGUUAAGAACGGAUUAUUUUUGCCAAUUGUGACCACAACGUUGGUUCUUGCUUACCUGAUCAGAAGAAGUUCUUGGAUAUAUCGAAGGAGGACGCUUGUCCCUGUGACUUCUUGAAUGUGACAUUAUGCUGCACUGGAUUUUAAUCACAAAACACAGAACGAGGAACGAGCACUACGAACUAAACUAACCCAACUAUAAUACGAUACACAUCUGCGAAAUGAAACACGAUUUUGAUUUUUUUUAAAACUGUAGGUAGGUAUACUCGAAUAAUAUACUUAGGUAUAGUGUUAUGGUCUGUAUAGGUACUUUGGUUAUUUUUUUAUGUGCUCGUUUUUUAUAAUUAUCAUUAUGUUAUCAUUGUUCUGUCGAAUAGAACUAAAAACUAAAAAUCAGUAUUCGAGGUACAAAGUGCAUGUUGUAUAGAGACGAAAAAUGUUUAUUAAAAAAAGUACCACACCAAUUGCCGCAUUACAAAGACUCGACAGAUAAUUUCAUAAUUACUGAUAAAAUUUAAACUUACAAUUAUACGAGCAGUUUUUUUUUUUUUUUUUUGGUAGAAAGGCACACACGUAUUUUCUUAAUUUAGUUAAGUUUAAGUAUAGGUAGGUACAUUAUCAAAUUCAAACCCGAAUAAAAAGAUUAUUGCAAGCACAAGGAAGUAAAUUAUGAUCAACUUUAUCAAUUUUUCAUUUUUUUACCUCUAAUUUUAUUGAUUUUAUGCGAAUGCUUACCUAAUGAAUGAUGAUUAUUUUUUAACUUUUGCGGAAAAGAUAACCUAAUUAAAAUUAACCAUCGUCUUUGAUUUUUUUCAUUUCAUUAAAAUAACAUUUUUUUCAACUUGAAAGGGAAUGUGAACUACGUAAUGUGAUUCUAUAACCCUUGUUCUUCUAUACGCAGCAUUGAUUAAAUAUCACUUACCAGAGACUUGCGAACGUUUUUAAACUAGGCAGAGACGAAAGUGGAGGUAUUUUUAUGAGAUGUAGACUAAAAUUUUCCAACUGGCAUAAAAAAAAUACCAGCUUUGUCGAAUAAAAUGACGAGGUUUUGCAGUAGAAUAAGAGAUAAAAUACUACUCGUAUUCAUAUGACUUGAAAAAAUAAUUUCUAUUUUCUUUCUUAAAUUUUUGGUAUUCCAAUUCUGGAACGAAGUAAGGCCAAACGCUUUUGAAAACUGAUGACUUGAAAAACUUGACGAAUUUUUUGGAACUCAGUCAAGUUUUGAGCAUUUAUUAAGACCUUUGGCAGUUUUUCAAACUUGAUGGUACCUAAAAUUUAAACAAAAUCAAAUCUCACUGAAUAGUCAUCAAAAUUAUAAAGUUUUCCGAUUUUUAUAGUCAGUUUUCCUAAUUUUUUGAAAACUCAAAUCUACUCGACUGACGUUCAUAAUCACCGCAAUUCUCCAAAUUCUUCGAAAAAUUUCAUUUGAAUUGUAAAAUUUGUCGAUUUCAAACAAAAUAAUAAUGAUUAUAGGUACCUCUUUUGAAGCUAUUUCUCAUCUUCAAUUACCAACGACCUAGGUAUAGGUAUCUCUAAUGUUAGUUUUGUGCUAUUCCACAUCAUCUGAAGCUAAAAAUCAAGUCGAAAUUCGAAGGAAACUUGUCAGAAAAAUCUGGAACAAAAUCACAGGAUCUGACCUCAUAUUUGGGUCGAGUUGAUGCGAAAUAAGUUGUGCAAAAAAAUUAUAAGUAUGGGAACGUUCCUUUAUUAAAACAUAUAAUCCAUAGUUUUUUUGUUUUUUUUUUUUCAAAUUGAUGUUUACAUUACCUACCUACUGCAGAAAACAUGCAAUUCUUAGAAAUUUCAAAAAUUAUAAAUGUCACAAUAAGUACUUAAGUAGGUAUAAAUUUUUGAAUUUUUGGAAAACUUUCAAUUUGAAAAGUUUUGGAGUAAAUUUUAAAGUUCUUCGAUUCUAUCAGGGUUUGCGUGAAAAUAAGUAGCUGCUUGACCACCCAGAAUCAACGUCUUUUCUAAAGAUAAGAUGCCUUGAACAAAUGUUGCCAAAAUUUGAGGUACCAAAGUAUAUUUCUAAAUUUUUGGGAAAUUUAUGAAAGUUCAAAAAGCUUAAAAAUGAUGUACUUACUCGUAAUUCUAUCAAUUUUUAACCUUUUUAUGUUUCUUUUUGAAAAACUAAAUUAACCAGUAGGUAUCAAUGUGAGUAUUGGUGAAUUUUCAAAAAUGCAAUUUGAGUCAAAAAUGGAGAGAAAUCAAAAUUUUUCCAAAAAAAAAAAAUGAUCUAGGAAAUUUAAUAAUGUAAGUAUCUAAUUAUUGACCCCAACUUCCCCCACCCCACCCCACCCCACCAAAAAAUCAACUUGAAGCCUACAUAAGACGUAAAGCAGGUUUUUAAAAGUUGAAAGUUUCACAAAAUUUUAUACCUCAUGAAAUUUUGUGGAAGGCUAAAAUUUACAUAUUGAAGAUGAUUUCAAGAUGGUCUGGAGCCUCCAGUCGUAUUAUGGAAAUUCCAGAUUUUCAAAAGUGCCAUAAAGAUUAUCGAAAUCAGCUUCAGCGAGUAUUUUUUCAAAAUCAGUUUUUGCCAAUUCAGAAUUGUACAUUUUUCAAUUUUUCAAUCACGGAUUUUUAUCACAUUUAAUAUGUGGAAUUUCUAGAAUAUGACUAGACCAGAAGUAAGCUCAAAAUGGUUUAAAACCAUUCACAAUCGCUUUGGAGGAUCGACAAUAGGGUAUUAUGCCAAAUUUCAGCUUCCUAGGUCAAUUUGGUAAAAUUUUGAUUUUUCCCUUCAUUUUUAAACCUCUAAUUUUCAAAAAUUCGAAAAAUGCACUUCAGCUCUUGAAGUCUUUCUUAGGUGUAGCUGUGUCUGGUUUCAAUUUUUUUGCCAGUUGUGGAACCUCUCUUGUAAGAGAAGAUCCUUUGAACGGACACGUUUCAGUUUGAUCAGAAACAAUCUAGACUGAUAAAGCAUAAUACUUAUCCUAUAAUCUCCUCAACAAAAAUUUCAGAAUUCAUCACCUCCUUGGAUUGUUGGGUGAUUUUUGAAAAUUUUAAAAAUUCAAAAACAUGUUUUUAUGACAAAUUUUUAGAUAACUUUUUCAUUGUUUUCUUCAAACGAAAUCAACCAGAUGUGACUAAUUACCUCAUUUCCCUUUCACUCUUUCUCACUGUGAAAACUACCUGUUUUAGGUCAAUUUUGAUUUAAACCUUCAGCAAGUGCUUAAUUUUCUCCACAAAGAUAAAGCCCAGAUGAAGCGUUGUCAGAUCUAAAAAACCAUUCCUAUCCUAUUCCAUCCCCAUGAGACCAGGGCCAGACCCUAGAACACUGAAAAUUUAGUGGUCCACUGAGAUAUCCCUUUUUAGCGGCCCUGAUUCUGGGCUCCUCAAUUAAUCAGCCAAAUUUUUUUAUCCCAUUUUUUAAAGUGCAGGACACUGAGCAUAAAAAUUCAUUCAGAAAUUUUUUAAGCGACCCAGUUUUUAUACCUCACCCCCCCCCCCAAAUACAUCACAGCCAACCGAGAUUUUCUUGGUAACUCGGUGGUAUGGGGUCCGGGCCUGCAUGAGAUGACAUAAAACUAGGUAUAUCUGAUGAAGACUUACUUUGUCACUCAUAUUUCAUAUCAUUUUCUCUCUCUCACUCACGGCUAUUUUGUUCAAAAAACCACCUCGUCUCUUACCUCGAUGAUUGGUUAUGAGGACCCAGUCGCCUUUUUGAAAGAAUAUUGCCUAUUGGGUCAGGAUGACUUUUAUUAUUGAAGGCAUAAUAUUCUUCUUCAAUUUUCUUAAGCCUGCGUUUUUCACGAAUGAAAGUUUCAAUCACCUGAUGGCUGGUGUGGAGUCAUAUUGAGGAUUUUUUGCUUAUUUUGUUUGACUGUAUAGACUGCCUUUUUGGUCAAAGAGUUGGCAACAAUGUUUGUAAAUUCACGCUUUCUUGCAAAAACAUGAAUAAAUUCAACAUUAUCAAACUCGGAACUCUUUACAUAAUUCGAGAAUUUCUUUAAACAAAUGCUCAUGAUGCACCAAGUUAUGUUAAGCACGCUGCAAGGGUUGCCUAUAAAAAUUCAUUCCAGCACCUUCACCUAUGAAUUUAGUAGUUGGUACUUUUUGAGCACAUUCUCACCAUUUUGUUCUUGAAAGUAGGAUGAAAUUAUUAUCAUUUGUAGGUACUUUACCUACAGGGUGCCCAGAAAUACCGUGAACCCUUAAAAAAGUUUUCUGCCAAAUGUUUUGGUUGAUCACACUGACUGAUAAUAAUGAUAGCACAUGAUUGGUUGCUAGACCGAGGUGAUAACAUUCCAUCAAUCAUAUGCAUUUAGUUCAUGUUGCCAACCUAUGUUUUUAAUAAAAAACUUUCUUUAGGGUACACAAUAUUUCUGGGCACCCUGUACCUAAACCUAUAAUUUGUACAAAAAAUAUUGAAAAUUGAUCAAAAACAUUUUUCAGUUUUCAAAAGUCUGCUGAAAUUUUAGAAAAUUAUUUUUAAAAGAUCAACAUUCCUAUAAUAUUUUUAUUGUUCAUUGAUUCAUUUCCAAGUUUUCUAAAGUCAAACAUGAUUUUUGAAAAUCUACUUCAGAUAUUAAUAACUAAUAAGUGACGUAUAGCAGAAAUUGGUAAUUUUUUCCAUUUUUAAUAGUUUCAUAAGAGAAUUAUUUUUCUAGUUUUCAAAAAUCAGACAAAAAAGUAUUGGGUAGGUAGGUGUAGCUACAUAAAAUACUUACCUACCUAUGUAUAGUAAAAUCAAAUAUUACAAAACACAAUGUCCUUUCGUCAACGAUCUAAAUCGAUGAAAAUACACAUUAGACAAAAACCUCAAAUACAUCGAUGGCAACAUGGUAAAUAUUUUUUUCACAUCACAUCUCGAGCUGAAUUUUUGCAAUGCAAUCGAAUCGAACGUUGACAGGAUGUUUGAAAACCAAUCGAUCUUUUCACCGGGUAACAAAGGGGUUAGAAUAGAACAGUGGUUCUUUUGUGAAUUCUAAAAUUGGACACCAUUUUGUAUUCUCAUAUAUACAUACGUAUAGGCUAUGUGGGAGUACGAGCAGAUUAUGAUGCAUUUUAAUAAAAACCUCGACAGCCCAAAAACCAAUCUGCUACCAGUUUUAAAAAGGGGUUGAAAAACUAAACUCGACUCGUUCAAGUGUCGACUGUCGAUUUGGAUUUUCGGGAAUAAUUACCAUCGAAUGCUUAGACUUAGACCUACCACAGCAAUACUAUUCGAAGUAAAGCCUCGAAGAACAACUUGCUGUUCUACUGUCUUAUACGGUCGAUUUAAAAAACAAUUUGUACGUAAUAAAGAAGGUGACGAUUUCGACUUUGGUUUAAAAUAAAAACGUAGCCCUUCAUCUCUUGCAUAUAGGAAAUCAUACCCGACGAGUGAUUUUAACAAAAUAAUUACUCGUUUAAGUAUAGGUAACGACCGAAUGUAAAUUCCAAGAAAUGAGAACCACUGUUUCCGAAUGCUCACAAGAAGGGUUACGAGUGUUUACAUGAACUGGCGAUUGUUGCAAACCGCGGCAUGGCUAUUGGAAAAAACACCACAAUUCGCACGAACGCAGAUGCUAAAAUUUUUCGGGGUUUUUGUCAAAUAAUACAUAAAAAGGGCCACAUAUAUAGGCCUAUACACGAUGGAAAUAUAUUCAAAACACCUGACCAUGGUGGUGCGAAAGGGUCGAAAUCUUUUUCACCCGCUUACACUCUCUCUUUCAUCAUCUUUUUAAAAUCUCAACGACCAAAGAUCUAAUUCCAAAAAAUAUAAAAACCUUUUCAGGUAAAAAUAUAUAAUAUGCGAAAAAAGAAUCGAUAUUUUAACAAUCGCAGGUAUAGAAAUUCGGCGCAAUUCCAAAAAAAAAAAAGACUGCCAGUGCCUUUUAAAAAAAGAUACCUACCAAAAUGACACUGUAAGUAUGACCUUGCGAAAUACUGGUCUUCGAAAUACAUACCUACGUCUAUAGAUAGGCUACUCUUUUCAAUAUUUUCAAAUCAAUUAAACAACCAAUAAGAGAGUAUAUUUUUAUAAAUAUCCACGCAUUUGUGAUCUUUUUACCGUAAAUCCUCCAGUUCCGGUUAGUGAAAUUGUCAAAGGCCAUCAAUGACUUUUGAAAAUAUGUACCAAUAUUGUAAACCAGGAUUUUAAAAUACCUCGGGCUUAAUCCGUUGAAAUUUUUCGAGUUUGUUAAUUACUCCGAUUGGAAAUAAUCUCUAAAAAGAGUUAGACUUUUACUCAUUCUUAUGUAGAAAAAUUGGUAAUUACCCGUCAUUUUAACCUUCAUUAGUUUACAAACCUGUUACUUAUAAUACGUUUUAUUAGUCAAACUGUAUGUCUUCGUUGAACAUUAAUAUAAAAUCAUCUCAAAGGUUGAUUUUCUCUUUUUAAAUAACGUAAACACAAAGAAAACAUUUUCAAUUAGAUAGCUGCGCAUUAAUUAUACUUAGUCUAAAUAGUAUAGAAUGGAAUAACUCGUGAUUGUAAUAAUUCGUCGCUAUAAGUCAAACUACUCGUACAUAGUAUACAGUCUUGUAUUUUGUAUCGUAAAAUAUAUCGUUACUAAAUUUGGAUAGUAAAACGUACAUGUGCGGACCAUUCGAAUGUCGAGAGUUCGCAUACCCUUUGUCAACGAUGCAAUAAAAUACACACACAGAUUGCUUAUGCAAUUUUACGUUACGUUAUCUUAUCCUAUAAGAAUAAGUUUACUUCUUUUUUUUUGUUGUUCGUGAACUUUACUUGUAACUACUUAUACCUACUCGAGUAAUACGUAUUGUAUGAUUGUAUGUACACAAAACCCCAGUUGUAAUAAAAAUAUGAUUAUAACGAA